UACGUAGGGCGCAAGCGUUGUCCGGAAUUAUUGGGCGUAAAGAGCUCGUAGGCGGCUUGUCACGUCGGUUGUGAAAGCCCGGGGCUUAACCCCGGGUCUGCAUUCGAUACGGGCUAGCUAGAGUGUGGUAGGGGAGAUCGGAAUUCCUGGUGUAGCGGUGAAAUGCGCAGAUAUCAGGAGGAACACCGGUGGCGAAGGCGGAUCUCUGGGCCAUUACUGACGCUGAGGAGCGAAAGCGUGGGGAGCGAACAGG
Molecule: ribosomal RNA, 253 nt
Filed under: uncultured bacterium
Lineage: Bacteria
Description: partial 16S ribosomal RNA
Rfam family: Bacterial small subunit ribosomal RNA
Source: RNAcentral